RNAcentral lists this ribosomal RNA (289 nucleotides) under uncultured Lewinella sp. Its description in RNAcentral is "partial 16S ribosomal RNA". Lineage: Bacteria; Pseudomonadati; Bacteroidota; Saprospiria; Saprospirales; Lewinellaceae. The record is from RNAcentral.
CUACCAGGGUUUCUAAUCCUGUUCGCUCCCCACGCUUUCGUGCCUCAGCGUCAAUCAAGGGCCAGUUAGCUGCCUUCGCAAUCGGUGUUCUAUGGCAUAUCUAAGCAUUUCACCGCUACAUGCCACAUUCCGCUAACCUCAACCUAAUUCAAGACCCGCAGUAUCAAAGGCAAUUCCGCAGUUAAGCUGCGGGAUUUCACCUCUGACUUACAGGCCCGCCUACGCACCCUAUAAACCCGGUGAUUCCGAUUAACGCUUGCACCCUCCGUAUUACCGCGGCGGCUGGCAC